CCUACGGGAGGCAGCAGUAGGGAAUAUUGCUCAAUGGGGGAAACCCUGAAGCAGCAACGCCGCGUGGAGGAUGACGGCCCUACGGGUUGUAAACUUCUUUUGUCAGGGAGCAAGUGAGUCCACGUGUGGGCUUAGCGAGAGGACCUGAAGAAAAAGCAGAGGCUAACUCCGUGCCAGCAGCCGCGGUAAUACGGAGGAUGGGAGCGUUAGCCGGAUUGCUUGGGUUGAAAGGGUGCGUAGGCGGAAUCUCAAGUCAGCGGUAAAAAUUCGGGGCUCAACCCCGUCGUGCCGUUGAAACUGCUGUUCUUGAGUGGGCGCGUAGUAUGCUGCUUGCGUGGUGUAGCGG
Molecule: ribosomal RNA, 346 nt
Filed under: uncultured bacterium
Lineage: Bacteria
Description: partial 16S ribosomal RNA
Rfam family: Bacterial small subunit ribosomal RNA
Source: RNAcentral